RNAcentral lists this ribosomal RNA (253 nucleotides) under uncultured bacterium. RNAcentral's name for it is "partial 16S ribosomal RNA". It matches the Rfam family "Bacterial small subunit ribosomal RNA", at positions 524 to 776 of the family's 1533-position model. The record is from RNAcentral.
UACGAAGGGGGCGAGCGUUGUUCGGAAUUACUGGGCGUAAAGGGCGCGCAGGCGGCUCUGAAAGUCAGAUGUGAAAGCCCCGGGCUUAACCUGGGAACUGCAUUUGAUACUCUAGAGCUUGAGUACGGGAGAGGAGUGUGGAAUUCCCGGUGUAGCGGUGAAAUGCGCAGAUAUCGGGAAGAACACCCGUGGCGAAGGCGGCACUCUGGGACGGUACUGACGCUGAGACGCGAAAGCGUGGGGAGCGAACAGG